This 919-nucleotide long non-coding RNA is filed under the name Zostera marina. RNAcentral describes it as "long non-coding RNA (ZMAR_LNC003580)". The record is from RNAcentral. Lineage: Eukaryota; Viridiplantae; Streptophyta; Magnoliopsida; Alismatales; Zosteraceae.
GUUCCUUGAUACUCUAAGGUACUAACUUACCCGUAAAAGUUAGAGGUUCUUAAGAGUGCCCUUGAUACUUUAAGGUGUGAGUCUACCCGUAAAAGACUGGUUCCUAAGCGAAGUAGCCUUAAAACUUAGAGAGGUUUUUAAGAGUUCCUUGAUACUCUAAGGUACUAACUUACCCGUAAAAGUUAGAGGUUCUUAAGAGUGCCCUUGAUACUCUAAGGUGUGAGUCUACCCGUAAAAGACUGGUUCCUAAGCGAAGUAGCCUUAAAGCUUAGAAAGGUUUUGCCAUUACCUUUAGGCGAGUGAAUUUCGGCAGUUGGUCGGGACUGGACUAGCCCUUGUUUGGGUGAACCAGUAUAAAUCUCUUGUGUUGUUCUCUGUUAAUUAUAGUUCUAUCUUUUACUUAAAAACAACACUUAAUUAAAAAGAUCCCUCUUCCAGUUAUCUGGUCAAACACAGAGGUUGACUACUUUACGCAGAUCCCUCAUCCAGUUAUCUGGUCAACUAUCUGAGGUUAUAUUCAUUGCUUUAAAUCCUUAUAUUUGUUCAAGUAUUACUUAUCAUAUUUAUCCAGUUAUCUGGUCACUUACUUGUUUAUCAACUUAUCCAGUUAUCUGGUCAAUUACUUGUUUGUCAAUAUAUCCAGUUAUCUGGUCAUUUACUUGCUUAUCAAUAUAUCCAGUUAUCUGGUCAUUUACUCUACAAUACAAUUUGUGUUUCCAAUAUAACUUAGUAUUCAUAUACUAUAGUUGUGUGUGAAACACUAUCAAGCAAGUUGACUCAGUAUUCAUAUACUGUAGUAAGCUUCGAAGAGUAAUACUUACAUUAUUAUAUCAAUUAAAAUAAUAAUAUCCUUAUAUCAUUACUGUUCAACCAUUUGUUUAUUAAGCAUUUACAGGUAAUUCCGCUAUCAACCUGUAUA